Molecule: long non-coding RNA, 529 nt
Organism: Spinacia oleracea (spinach)
Lineage: Eukaryota; Viridiplantae; Streptophyta; Magnoliopsida; Caryophyllales; Amaranthaceae
Exons: 2
Source: RefSeq, a predicted model, not a curated record
CAAGUCCGUGCUAUUUUUGGUAAGUUGUCGGAUUAUAUUGAAUGUUUUGACUGUUAUUCUGGUCAACUUGGGUAGUAGUCUGCUUUUCCUUGAUUUCUAUGAUGUUCUCGAUUUAGUUACUUGUAGCCAUGGUUCAUAUUUCAGCGUUCUAGAUGAACUUCCUGGUGCUGUUGGGGAUCAAGGGAAAGGUUCCCCGUGUUAAUUGCCAGGCUGCCAGGAUUAAAGUAUUAGACUGAAAGAAGUUGAUGCAGAAUCUGCUGCACAGGAAGAACAUAAACCUGAGCAGUCUUCUUAAACCGCUGUAAGAGAUUCUACUAUGUCAACUGAAGGUAUUCAUGAACAAACCAAGGGAGCGUUCCUUCACGACUGAUGAAAUAAUAUGUGUUCGAGACAAGUUGGCACGAUUUAUUACUAGUGAAUGUCUUUGAUUAAUCUCGUUUUUAGCAUUGUAAUGAAUCUAAUACUGUAGUUAGAUACCUUUUUCUAUUAAUCAAUUUAAAUACAAUAUGUUUUAAACCGUUGUUUGAUA